AAGCGAUGAAAUUACUAUUCUUCUGGUAUGGAGUAGAUAAUGGAGCUUGUUGUGGGUUGUAAGUGUAACCGCAAACCAGAAAAGAAAACUUACAUU
This 96-nucleotide non-coding RNA is filed under the name unclassified sequences. Its description in RNAcentral is "drum RNA". It matches the Rfam family "drum RNA". Rfam says of the family: Firmicutes, Bacteroidetes (1 example), Proteobacteria (2 examples), Spirochaetes (2 examples). Terminator (Clostridia) The record is from Rfam by way of RNAcentral.